Molecule: ribosomal RNA, 497 nt
Filed under: uncultured bacterium
Lineage: Bacteria
Description: partial 16S ribosomal RNA
Rfam family: Bacterial small subunit ribosomal RNA
Source: RNAcentral
GAUGAACGCUGGUGGCGUGCCUAAUACAUGCAAGUCGAGCGAACAGACGAGGAGCUUGCUCCUCUGACGUUAGCGGCGGACGGGUGAGUAACACGUAGAUAACCUACCUAUAAGACUGGGAUAACUUCGGGAAACCGGAGCUAAUACCGGAUAAUAUAUUGAACCGCAUGGUUCAAUAGUGAAAGACGGUUUUGCUGUCACUUAUAGAUGGACCCGCGCCGCAUUAGCUAGUUGGUAAGGUAACGGCUUACCAAGGCAACGAUGCGUAGCCGACCUGAGAGGGUGAUCGGCCACACUGGAACUGAGACACGGUCCAGACUCCUACGGGAGGCAGCAGUAGGGAAUCUUCCGCAAUGGGCGAAAGCCUGACGGAGCAACGCCGCGUGAGUGAUGAAGGUCUUCGGAUCGUAAAACUCUGUUAUUAGGGAAGAACAAAUGUGUAAGUAACUAUGCACGUCUUGACGGUACCUAAUCAGAAAGCCACGGCUAACUACGUG